RNAcentral lists this ribosomal RNA (119 nucleotides) under Pteropus alecto (black flying fox). The record is from RNAcentral. Lineage: Eukaryota; Metazoa; Chordata; Mammalia; Chiroptera; Pteropodidae.
GUCUACGGCCAUGCCACCCUGAACAUGCCCAAUCUCGUCUGAUCUCGAAAGCUAAGCAGAGUCGGGCCUGGUUAGUACUUGGAUGGGAGACCACCUAGGAAGACCGGGUGCUAUAGACA